CAGCCGCCGCGGUAAUACGAAGGGACCUAGCGUAGUUCGGAAUUACUGGGCGUAAAGCGCGCGUAGGCCGUUGAGUUAGUUAAUUGUGAAAUCCCAAAGCUUAACUUUGGAACUGCAAUUAAAACUGCUCGACUAGAGUUUGAUAGAGGAAAGCGGAAUACAUAGUGUAGAUGUGAAAUUCGUAGAUAUUAUGUAGAACACCAGCUGCGAAGGCGGCUUUCUGGAUCAACACUGACGCUGAGGCGCGAAAGUAUGGGUAGCAAAGAGGAUUAGAUACCCUCGUAGUCCAUACCAUAAACGAUGAUUGCUAGAUGUUGGAAAUUUAUUUUCAGUAUCGCAGCUAACGCAUUAAGCAAUCCGCCUGGGGAGUACGACCGCAAGGUUAAAACUCAAAUGAAUUGACGG
Molecule: ribosomal RNA, 405 nt
Filed under: alpha proteobacterium enrichment culture clone LiUU-15-760
Lineage: Bacteria; Pseudomonadati; Pseudomonadota; Alphaproteobacteria
Description: bacterial SSU rRNA
Rfam family: Bacterial small subunit ribosomal RNA
Source: RNAcentral